AUGGGAGGGCGGUUGCUAUAAUGCAGUCGAACGCGUUGGCCCAAUUGAUUGAUGGUGCUUGCACCUGAUUGAUUUUGGUCGCCAACGAGUGGCGGACGGGUGAGUAACACGUAGGUAACCUGCCCAGAAGCGGGGGACAACAUUUGGAAACAGAUGCUAAUACCGCAUAACAACGUUGUUCGCAUGAACAACGCUUAAAAGAUGGCUUCUCGCUAUCACUUCUGGAUGGACCUGCGGUGCAUUAGCUUGUUGGUGGGGUAACGGCCUACCAAGGCGAUGAUGCAUAGCCGAGUUGAGAGACUGAUCGGCCACAAUGGGACUGAGACACGGCCCAUACUCCUACGGGAGGCAGCAGUAGGGAAUCUUCCACAAUGGGCGCAAGCCUGAUGGAGCAACACCGCGUGAGUGAAGAAGGGUUUCGGCUCGUAAAGCUCUGUUGUUAAAGAAGAACACGUAUGAGAGUAACUGUUCAUACGUUGACGGUAUUUAACCAGAAAGUCACGGCUAACUACGUGCCAGCAGCCGCGGUAAUACGUAGGUGGCAAGCGUUAUCCGGAUUUAUUGGGCGUAAAGAGAGUGCAGGCGGUUUUCUAAGUCUGAUGUGAAAGCCUUCGGCUUAACCGGAGAAGUGCAUCGGAAACUGGAUAACUUGAGUGCAGAAGAGGGUAGUGGAACUCCAUGUGUAGCGGUGGAAUGCGUAGAUAUAUGGAAGAACACCAGUGGCGAAGGCGGCUACCUGGUCUGCAACUGACGCUGAGACUCGAAAGCAUGGGUAGCGAACAGGAUUAGAUACCCUGGUAGUCCAUGCCGUAAACGAUGAGUGCUAUGUGUUGGAGGGUUUCCGCCCUUCAGUGCCGGAGCUAACGCAUUAAGCACUCCGCCUGGGGAGUACGACCGCAAAGUUGAAACUCAAAGGAAUUGACGGGGGCCCGCACAAGCGGUGGAGCAUGUGGUUUAAUUCGAAGCUACGCGAAGAACCUUACCAUGUCUUGACAUCUUGCGCCAACCCUAGAGAUAGGCGUUUCCUUCGGGAACGCAAU
RNAcentral lists this ribosomal RNA (1040 nucleotides) under Limosilactobacillus sp. RNAcentral's name for it is "bacterial SSU rRNA". It matches the Rfam family "Bacterial small subunit ribosomal RNA", at positions 29 to 1032 of the family's 1533-position model. Lineage: Bacteria; Bacillati; Bacillota; Bacilli; Lactobacillales; Lactobacillaceae. The record is from RNAcentral.